CCCCUACGGGGGGCAGCAGUGAGGAAUAUUGGUCAAUGGGCGAGAGCCUGAACCAGCCAAGUCGCGUGAAGGAUGACGGCCCUACGGGUUGUAAACUUCUUUUGUCAGGGAGCAAUUGGGUCCACGCGUGGGCUUAGCGAGAGUACCUGAAGAAAAAGCAUCGGCUAACUCCGUGCCAGCAGCCGCGGUAAUACGGAGGAUGCGAGCGUUAUCCGGAUUUAUUGGGUUUAAAGGGUGCGUAGGCGGAUUGAUAAGUUGGAGGUGAAAUGUCCGAGCUUAACUCGGGAACUGCCUCUAAUACUGUU
RNAcentral lists this ribosomal RNA (305 nucleotides) under uncultured bacterium. RNAcentral's name for it is "bacterial SSU rRNA". It matches the Rfam family "Bacterial small subunit ribosomal RNA", at positions 336 to 637 of the family's 1533-position model. The record is from RNAcentral.